Molecule: long non-coding RNA, 9976 nt
Organism: Acinonyx jubatus (cheetah)
Lineage: Eukaryota; Metazoa; Chordata; Mammalia; Carnivora; Felidae
Exons: 3
Source: RefSeq, a predicted model, not a curated record
ACACACACACAAAUAAGAUAAAUGAAGCUAGAUCCUAGGUGUGUUUUGGUCUGGGGUUUGAAAGGGGCUUGAUAGAUUAGAGAAAAAAGGGGAAAGAAAAAAAAAAAGGAAAUUGUUUGAAAUUUUGAAAAAAUGAAUACACUGAAAUAGAAUAAAAUAAAAUGAUGGAAGUAAAACAGAAUUUGAAAAAAAUUUACAAAAAAGAAAAAAUAUAGUAGAAAAAAAUUAAAGAAAAAUAUUUUUAAUAAAAAUUGAAAAUAAAAAUAAUUUUUUCUCUUUCUGUAUUCAAGAAAAAGAAAUGACAAAGAGAUGAAAAAAAAAGAAAAUUAAAUAGAUGGACGAGUGAACAGACUGAAAUACUAUUGAAAUUACUUCGUUUUCCCCUAGAAGCCAAUGAAGCGUUUUACAGUCUGUAAACUAAGCAGCCAGAGAAAUUUGUGUUCCUGAAGAGCGAGGUUGGCCCAGUUGGGCGGGGCUUGGUGUAAUGGCUCCAUUCUCCACUAGAUGGCGCUGCUUAGCUUAUUGGGGUGGAUUGUUGCGGUGCUUGUAGGUGCGUAUGGGCAUGCGCGAGGGCAGUGAAAAUGGCGUCUAGUAUAGGAACUCUGUUCUCCCGGAUGAGCAAUCACCCGCCUGUCCUUUGUCUUCGGCUUCCAUCCACUCCCCGCUUUUACACGGUCCGUGACCAAGCCCCAGGCACCACCUCCCUCCUGAGUUUUGUCUCAGAUGCGGCUGUUUUUCCCAACCCCUUAUUUCUGAGGGACUGCGGCUUUGACCUGAUCUGCCCGUUUGCGGGAGGAUCUCACCGAGCAAUGGCCGGGUGCCGGCCGCUCCCAGGAACGUUCGCAGGCUGCGCUGCUGCCGACGCCCAGAGACUGCGGCCAGGUGCCAGCCCGCCCUGGAAAAAGUUCGUGAGACAGUGUAGCAGCAGCGCCUCAGGGAUUAUGGAAAAUCACAACACGCAUCUGCUUUAAUGACCUUGUUCCAGGACCAGCAAAUGUGGUUGUUCCCCCAGGUCCACUGGGGCCUUGCCUUUGGGGGACCGACACAGCCUCCACCAAGUGUCCUCCCAGCAGGGUAACCGCCUCUCCCCGUGUGGCCUGAAGAACCCCGGACCCCACUCUGCUCCUGAGGAUUCGCCCUUCUCACCAGAGCACCGCCAGUAGGCUCACACCCAGCGCCCAAUGCAGGGGCUUGAACUCACGACCCUGAGAUCAAGACUGAGCUGAGAUCAAGAUUCGGAUGCUUAACCAACUGAGCCAAUCAGGGAGGAAAUAAAGCAAAUAAAGGGAAUCACUUUUGGGUGAAACCAAAAUGCUCCCGUGGAGUGGCGUUUCAAUUCCGAAACCCCUCACUCACAGAUCUUUCUGCAUGAUGGAGACUGAAGGACAGAGAACCUCAACCACAUUCUCCAACCCUGGGGAAUGCUAAGCACCUAUUCCCACAGUCUUCAAGAUUUACUGCAGAACCAGCAGCAAGUGCAAACAUUCACCCAAAUUCCUCCCACCCCAACUCGACCCUCGGGAGAGAACAGGCUGUUGUUAAUGUGUGCCCGUGGGGCCUAGAGAUGUUUUCAAGGGAAAUAGCUAGAACUCGCAUUCCCAUCUAGAUUUCAGGGGCGACUUCCACACCCCUUACAAGAAAUAAUGGUAUUUUUUUCCCCUGAAUAGAAAAGAAUGUUCGUGUAGAAAGUUGAAAAACACAAAAAAGAGAUCUGAAAAAAGAAAAUCUCAGAAUCCUAAAAUUUUUGGUGGUGAAUCCUUCUAGGCUGCUUUUAUGCAUGUUUAUGUUUAUGGAAUAUAUAUGUAAUGAAAAAUAAAAUGACUCUACAUUUGCUAGAUAAAUUUUUUUUUUUUUUAGUUUAUAUAUUUAUUUUGAGAGAAUGAGAGAGGGAAAGCAGGGGAGAAGCAGAGAGAGCUGGAAACAGAGGAUCCGAAGCAGGACAGAGGAUCUCUGACAGCAAUGAGCCCAAUGUAGGGCCCGAACCCAUGAGCCAGAGAUCAUGACCUGAGCCGAAGUCAGACGCUGAACUGACUGAGCCACACAGGCGCCCCUAAAUUGAUUUUUUAAAUUAACUAUAGAACAUGGAUAUGUUCCCACUUUAUUCAAUACUAUCUCAUAUCAGCAUUUGAAAUGGCAAUUUGAAAUGGUUACAUGAAAGGAGUACUAUGAUUUAUUUAACCAAUUUAAAUUAAUCCCCAUUGCUGGACAUUAAUCCCAAUUUUCUGCUAUUAAAAUUAAUUCUUCUGAGGCAUUUUUGUAUAAACCUCAGUAAUAUGUCCUUUGGUGUAAUUUAGGGGAUGUUGAAAUUCCAGGUCGCAGAACAUGCCCAUUUUAAAGGUUUUGGACAUACAACUUUAUUUAUUUAAAAAAAAUUUUUUUUAAUGUUUGUUUAUUUUUGAGAGAGAGAGAGAGUGGGGGAGGGGCAGAGAGCAAGGGAAACAGAAUCCAAAGCAGGCUCCAGGCUCUGAGCUGUCGGCACAGAGACUGAUGCGGGGCUCAAACUCACAGACCAUGAGAUCAUGACCUGAGCCAAAGUCGGAUGUAUAACCGACUGAGCCACCCAGGCACCCCACUGACAUGCAGUUUAAACAUCAAUUUUCAGUCUUCCUAGUCUUGCCAACAUUGCAAGUUAUUUUAAUAAAAAUACUUUGCCAAUUUGAUAAAAGAAAAACGUGACUUCACUGUGUUUUUACUAUGAAUUUACAUGAUUAUUAAUGACAUUGAAGGGCUUUUUUCACUGUGUUUAUUAACCAUUUAUAUUUUUAUUUUUGUUUUGACUAUUUAUAUGCUUUCUUUAGGGGUUUUUUUGCAAUACUUUUCUUUUUAUUACUGAUAUAGAAGACCUUUUCAAAUAUUAAGGAUAGUAACCCCCCCCCUUUUUUCUAUUUUAGAGAGAGAGGGCACAAGAGGUGGGGAGAGGGGCAGAGGGAGAGAGAGAGAGAGAGAGACAGAGAGAGAGAGAGAGAGAGAAUCUUAAGCAGGCUCCAAGCUCAGCCAGGAGCCUGAUGCAGGGCUCAGUCCCACAACCCUGGGAUCAUGACCUGAGCCAAUAUCAAGACUUGGAUGCUCAAUUAACUGAGCCACCCAGGUGCCCCAGUAACCCUUUGUUAACAUACUGGCAAGUUUUCCCUGGCUUGCUGUUUGCCUUAAUUGUAUUUGUGAUUUUUUUUUUUAAUGUACAGAAGUGUUUUUUCAUGUUUUAUGCAGUAGAAACUAUAUUAAUCUUCCCUUUUGUUUUCUGACUUUGGUUGUAUAGGCUUAAAAAGCUUUCUCUAAGUCCCACAGACUUUUGUCAAUAAAUCAUAGCCAUGUGCUACUAUCUUAAUAGCUCUUCCAUUAUUGUGAAGGCCAGGACCAGCUCUUUUUCUUACUUCCCCCUUAAGUGUCCUGCGUUUAGUUGAAUACAAUCCAUUCACUAAAAACAUAUUUUAACUGAGCACCCACUGCAUUCCAAAUGUAAAUGAAUUAGACACCUGUACGCAACUGCUUCUUUGUGAAUUUUCCCAGCAAAUAACUGAAUAAUUAGCACAUGUGACGAAUACAGAGACCAGGGCAGGAAGGGAACUGGAGAAAUUUUUAAAACUCCCUGACCCUUGAAAAUUUAAAAAAAAAAUUUUUUUUUUACGUUUAUUUAUUUUUGAGACAGAGAGAGACAGAGCAUGAAUGGGGGAGGGUCAGAGAGAGGGAGACACAGAAUCUGAAACAGGUUCCAGGCUCUGAGUGGUCAGCACAGAGCCCGACGCAGGGCUCGAACUCACGGACCGCAAGAUCAUGACCUGAGUCGAAGUCAGCCGCUUAACCGACUGAGCCACCCAGGCGCCCCGAAAAUUUAAAGUUCAAUACACUUUUGAGGGGAUUAAAGAGGCAAGGUUUCAACUUUAAAAAAAAUUUUUUUUAACAUUUAUUUAUCAUUGACAGACAGAGAGACACAGAGCGUGAGCAGGGAAGGGGUAGAGAGAGGGGAGACACAGAAUCUGAAGUAGGCAUCAGGCUACUGUCAGCUGUCAGCACAGAGCCCAACACAGGGCUCGAACUCACAAACUGUGAGAUCAUGACCUGAGCUGAAGUCAAUCACAUAACCAACUGAGCCACCCAGGAGCCCCUCAACUUUUUUUUUUAAUGUUUAUUUAUUUUUGAGAGAGAGAGAAAGUGGGGGAGAAGCAGAGAGAGAGAGGGAGACACAGAAUCCGAAGCAGGCUCCAGGCUCUGAUCUAUCAGCACAGAGCCAAACACAGGGCUUGAACCCACGAAUGAGUGGUGAGAUCAUGACCUGAACCCAAGUCAGAUGCUUAACUGACUGAGCCACCCAGGCACCCUUGGAGAGGCAAGAUUUAUAAGAGACAAGUGAGUAACUGUAGUACAAGGGAGAAAGUAGAAGUAGGCUGUGAGAUGGGUAAAAACUCUCAUUGCUCACAUGAUGGGGAUCAGGGAGGGCCUGUAGAGAAAAUGGCAUCUGAAGUGAGCUUUACAGGUAGAAAUGAAGGAGAGAACACUCUUCCUCCUGCCCUUAAAGAGAAGAAGAAACAGGCACGGUUGACCCAAUCUCUCCCUGUAGUACUAUAAAAAAAGGUUUCCAACCCACAAUGCCCAGAGGAGGGGCUCAGUGAAGAGAGUUGGCAUGUCUUUAUACUGCCUUUUGCAUUUACAAUUUGCUUCUGGUAUUUGGGGGGGGGGGGUGUAGAAAAUUUUCUUUGUUACAUAGUUAAAUCUUUUCAAAUGGUGUGGCAGACUGUACUUUCCAAAGAUGGCUGCACUAAUAUAUAUCCCAUCUCACAUGCUCUUCUUAGAAGGUGACUGUAACAGGCUUCAUUGAGAGGUGGAGUCUCUGUUCUCUGCCAUUGAACCUGGGUGGAUCUCCAUAAUUGCCUCAACCAGUAGAAUGUGGCAGAAGUGCUGUGGCAUGACAUCCAAGGCUAAGGCCUAAAAAGCACUGCUGGCUGGCUCUCCUUCUCUCUCUUGGGACACUUGCACUCUGAACACAGCCACCAUAUUCUGAGAAAGUCCAGGCCACACAGAUUCCUGGUCAAUAGCGCCAACCAGAUUCCUGGUCAACAGCCAGACAAGUGAACAAGGAAGAGUUGGAGCUUAUGAUGUCAUUUACAUCUGAGAUGAUUAUUGUGGCUUCUGGAGACUUGACUGGGGGGAAAGGGACAACAGAUCAGGUGUGGAGGUAGGAAGAACAAUAGGUUAAAGGCUUUAGCCAUAACCCAGGACAGAGAUGAUGUGGUUUGGAUUAGGGUUAUAGCAGUGAAAUAGGUAAGAAGUAGUCCUAUUUGGGAAAUGCUUUGAAUGUAGAGUUUAUGGGAUUUGCUAAUGGACUGGAUGGGAGUUGGGAGGGAAAGAGAGGAGUCACUGAUGAUAUCUAGAUUGUUAGCCUGAGAAGUUAGGUAUUGGGUCAGUGAUGGUGUGUCAUUUAUUGAGAUGAAAACACCUAAGGAAAGAGUAGCUUUUCAAGGCAAGAUAAGUCAUUAAUUUGAUCCUGGGAAUGUUCUAUGAGAAGCCUGUUAGAUAUCCAAGUGGAAAAGUGAAACAAAUGGUGGGAAAUGUGAGUCUAGAGCCUUGAGAGGCCUUAGCUGGAGAUACAAACAUGGGAGUCAUGGCAUAUAGAUGGUGUUCCAGAUACAAUAGCUGUGUAAUAAAUGACCUCAAGACUUAGCUUAAAACAGCUAUUUCAUUUGCCCACCAAUCUAUGGGUUAAGAAUUUAGGGCAGGGCUGGGGCGCCUGGGUGGCUCAGCCAGUUAAGUGACUGACCAUCAGUUUCAGCUCAGGUCGUGAUCUCACAGUUCAUGAGAUCAAGUCCCACAUAGGGCUCCAUGCUGACUGCACAGAGCCUACUUGGGAUUCUCUCUCUCUCUCUCUCUCUCUCUCUCUCUCUCUCUCCUCCUCUCUCUCUCUGCCUCUCCCUCCUCUCAAAAUAAAUAAAGAAACUUAAAAAAAAUUUUAAGGCAGGGCACAACAGGAAUGUUUAGCCUCUAUGCCACAAUGGGGUCUCAGCUUGGAAGACUUUAAGGCUGGAGGCAACACGUAAGGUGGGUUUGGAAUCACUUGGAAGCAUCUUUAUUCACAAAUCUGCCAAUUCAGGCUGGCUAGUUACUGGGACCUGAGCAGAGGUGGUCAACUGGACUACUCAUAGUGGCUUGUCUAUGUGGCUUGGGCUUCCUUACAGCAUGGAAGCCUUGGGAUGGCUGGACUAUGUACAUGGCAGCUCAGGGCUCCAUAAGUGAGUGUACCAAUGAACAAGGCAGAAGCUGCAUCACCUUACCUAACUUAACUUUGAAAGCUAUGCAGCACCCUUUCCACUCCAUUCUACAGGCUACAAGACAGUCAGUAACAGCCUGUCUAGAUUCAAAGUAAGUGGCGAGGUGGGUAGAUAUAGAUCCCUUCUCUUGAUGGAGGAAUGUGAAGAUUACAUUAUAGAAGAGCAUGUAGGAUGGAAAUGUUUUUGUGGACAAUCCUGGGAAAUACAACUUACUACAGAUGGUAAUUGUUUAGGGCUUUGCAAUUUGAUGAGAUCACUUAAGAAGCAAAUGUAGACCAAAGAGGUCCAGGACUGAGGCCUGGGCACCCAACAUUUAGAGAAUGGGAGGAAGAGGAGCCAGUGGGUAGAAGGAAGCUUAGAGCAAAAGUCAUUUUUUGCAGCAACUGCUCCUCCUUCCUUAUGAAAUUCCUUAGGAAGUGGGGUCAGGGCAAGUUCUUGCAUUGGCCAGCAGUUGCUACAUGGGGCCAGAAACAGCCCUCCCCAGUGGGCACUGCCUAGGGGCUCAGCUGAGCCCAACUCCUCAGCCCCACCAAGGUGAUCAGUCAGUACCGCUGGUUCCUGCAAUUUCUCAGUCUUCCAAAACACACGCAAGGAGGGGAGGGUAGUGUCCAUAGACCCUUCCUGUGGAGAUGCGGUUGCCCAAGUCCAGAGAAACCCUUCUUUUAGAAAACCAUUUUUGACCCUUCUUCAAGAGCUAAAGAAGCCUCCAUUUCGCUCAACUUCAAAGAAAACUUAACAUCCAAACAGUAGCAUCUGGAUUUAGAUUUAACUUGACUUCAGUUUCCUUUAAAAGUAUUUGGCGAAUGUUGUCUCAAGUCUUGGAGAAUUUCCUCAACCAAGAGAGUCCAAAGGUAAUGAUGCUUUCACCUCCAGGAAACUCAACCGCCAGAAGUUCCCUAAAUGGCAGGUCCCAGGGAACAACACAAAAUAAUUAAGUCCCUCUUCUCAAAGACCUUGCUAUAAUAGUUAAAAUAAACAGUCUGUGUGUUAGAGUUGGAAGUUCUGUUAUUAUAUAGCUGUCUUGCUGAAAUGGGUUCAAACCUCUACAGAGUUAUAAAGAAUGAGGCGCGUGCUGCUCCUUUAAUGUUGUUCUUGCUCAUGCAAAUGACGCCCUAUUACACCCAGCAAUGCUUAACUACUAGGUUAAAAACAACCACAUAGCAAUUUGGACCUCUCCAGGGGGUGGAGUAGGUACCCUCACUGCUUUGUGGUUUUAUGCAAUUCGUAUACUGUAUACAAGAAGACUUGACCUGGGGCAGGCAGUAAGAAAUGUGUAAUUAGAAACACUUCCCAAGGAAAUUACGAUGACAAGUCAAGGCUUGAGGAUUUCCGCAGGAGCCUGGAGCCGCAGAUAUUCAUUAUAGGUACUUGGAAGGCACAGCCGCCAGGCUGAAAACCGUGUCUAAUUGCUGUGCGGCUGGAUGCAGGCACCGAGGACCGCCCAGGGCCGCCCAGAGCCAGAAAUGGUGUCUAUGGCAACACAACACUCCAUUUUUAAACUUUUCACUGCAUAAAAAGAAAUUGCUUACAUUUUCCUUAUUCUCUUUUUCUUCCUACCAAUUUCAGAGUUUGUACCAGCGGUGAAUCCCCUCUAGGUCUAGCAUUUCCUGGUAACUAAUGACUUUCUGGGUGAAACGCUUUUGGCUUUACCUCCAACCAGCCAUUAAUUACUGCCCCAGGAAGCAUUUUCCAAUCAAAUUAUUGUUUAACCAAAAAUAAAAGAAAAUGGACUUUUACUGCUGUCAACAACAAUGAUCAACUCUCCCUCUGAGUCUAAAUGGGAAUCGUGGCAGUUUUAAAUUUAGGAAGUGUCCCUCUGGGGGCCAGUUAAGAAAGGCUUUCUCUAGAUACAGCAAAGUUGCUCUGGGUGCCCUUGAGGACCUUUGGCUGUGGCCCCAGAGGAUGCUGACCCACAGGCAGGAAGGAUCAGGAAAGUUACACAUGCACACCACCCCACCACCCCUGCUCCUGGGUCCCCAGUCAUUCUUUGUCAGUGUCCUUCUAACCUUGCUGUUAAGGCAAAUGCCCUAAAUGCUUCUAUGGGAGUGUCUGAGAGGAAGGAUUGCUUCCAUGAGCAGUGGAUAUGUAAAAUCUGCAUGCAGAGGGCACCUGGAUGGCUCAGUCAGUUAAGUGUCUGACUCUUGAUUUCAGUUCAGCUCAGGAUGUCAUGAUUUGUGAGUUCAAGCCCCACAUCGCACUCUGUGCUGAUAGUGCAGAGCCUGCUUGGGGUUCUCUCUCUCCUCCCUCUGUCUCUGCCUCUCUCCCACUGGGUCUCUCUGUCUCUCUCAAAAUAAAUAAACUUAAAAAAAAAUCUGCACACAUGAUAAUAGUCACACCUCUUGAGUACCGACAACAUGCCAGGCAGGUGCUGUGCCCCAUGGUUUACACACAUCAUCUGGAGUGAGCUCCAUCAGGCCCCAAAGGGAGAGUACAGUCAUUAUUCCUGUUUCACAGAUGGGGAAACUGAGAUUUAGAGAGGGUAACUUGGCCAAGAUCCACCAUAUCCUGGUGAGUAGCAGAGCCAGAACUUGAUUCCCAGUCUUUCCAUCAUAGCCUUAGCUUUUUACUUGUUUUCUUAAUUUUGUUAUCUAUGUUUCCUCUAAUUUAUUAUUAUCUACAUUAUAUGUGUGGCAAAAUACACAUCGCAUAAAAUUUACCAUCUUAAGAUUUUUAUUUAAAAUUUUUGUUUAAUGUUUACUUAUUUUUGAGAGAGAGAGUGCAAGUGGGAGAGGGGCAGAGAGAGAGGGAGACAGAGGAUCUGAAGUGGGCUCUCUGCUGUCAGCAUGGAGCCUGAUGCGGGGCUCAAACCCAUGAACCAUGAGAUCAUGCCCUGAGACAAAGUCAGUCGCUUAACCGACUGAGCCACCCAGGGCCACCCAUCUUAAGCAUUUUAAAGUGUGCAUGAAGUACACUCGGUGGCAUGAAGUACAUUCGCUUUGUUGUGUGGCCAUCACCGCCGUCCAUCUCCUGAGCUCUUUUCCAUCAUGCAGAGCUGAAACUCUGUCCCCAUGAAACAACAGCUCCCCAUUCCCUCUUCCCCCACAUCAGCCCCUGGCAACCACCAUUCCAGUUUCUGUCUCUCUGAAUUUCACUACUCUAGGUAGUGGGUUUUUGCGGUAUUUUCUAAACUGCUUCUUUCACUUAGCAUACUGUCCUUAAGGUCUAUCCACAUUGUAGCGUGCAUCAGAAUUUCCUUUUCUAAGGCUGAAUAAUAUUCCAUUAUCUAUAUACAACAUAUUUGUUUGUCAUUCACCCACGGGGGGACCACUAGGUUGCUUCUUUUGGCUGUGUGGCUAUUGUGAAUAAUGCUGCUGUGGUUAACUCUUAACCACUAAGACACAUUGAGACUUUGAGUGACUCUUAAAGGGGGGCACACGACCCACGGACUGCCUGACACCACUAACCUGCAGACCGGCCAAGUACCAUGCAGUCGGCCCAUCAGCCUAUUCCAGAAGGCGCCACCUUGCUGGCAGGGGAAAAAGGUGGCUGAGGCCAGAACGUCCUCUGGGUUAGCCAACUGGAGCUCCACAGCGCCACACUGGCACACCCGAUGAGGAACUUGGGUGUUCACUUCCAGUCUGUAUCCCUGAGACUUACAUUCUGGGGAAGACAAGGGCUUUCCAAUCCUAACUUCUCAGUCCAGACUUGACUGCAGGAUUCUCCAGCUGGACCAGAGCCUGUUCUGGGACACCACGGGCUCAUCUGCCAGCCCCUUG